CCCUCACCCGGAGAAGGCUGGAAAUCACGUCUCUAACUUGGAAAGCAGUUACCCAGAGGUACUGUGGAUCCUGGAGAAGAGUAACAAGUGCCCAAGCCACUUGAUCGAAGAUCAAAAGUUCACGGACGGCCACGGUCACUGCAAAACUUCACAGAUGGGCGACCAUUGAGAAUGUUUGCUAACACGUGAGUCUCAGUUUAUUAAGCCCUAUGCUGAGGCAUUCUCUGUGGAGGGAAAAACCCAUUAAAAAGUUUAUGCACCUAAAAAAAAAAUAUGCGUCAACGAAAGCUGAAUUAUGGCUGCUGGAUGAAUCUCCCACAUAAGGAACGCUUGGAACAGAAUUACGGAUUAUAUCAUCUGUGAUUUGUCUGGGCCCAAAUAGGCUGAAACACACAAUAAUCUUGAGCUGGAACAACCUCUGUAUCCUCCAGGCUCUCUCCCGCCUCCAAGACAGGGACUUCGGACAGGGUGCCCUCAACACUUACGAAGGACAACAGAAGCAGACAGCUGGUUGAUUCUGUGAUGCUGGAAGUACGAGAGCUGUCCCCAGACAGCGGGCUCCUUGUUUUAAACUCAAUUCAGCCAACAUUUUGGAGCACUUUCUAUAUGCCCGACACUCUGUCCGGGGCAGUGGGGGAUUCAAACAUGAGCGGGACACAACACACACCGAGUCUUUAAGGCCCCUGGGAGAAGCCCAUCUGCUGUCAGAGCUCUGAAGAGAACGUCUUCCCUCUGGUGAAGGUGUGGGGAGCUCUUCACAGACAGGGGCGUGCAGGAUGCGGGUACUCUUCCCAUGCACGGCGAAAGCCUGAGGGCCAGUGUCCUUCCCGGGUCCUGGUGGAGAGACUCGCCUUGCCCCUCAUUUCUGGCCAGGAGCCCGCUUCCAAAGUAGGCAGCUGGCGUGUGCAGGCUCCUUCCCUACACUGGGAGAACACUUGGGGCACCCGCCACAGACUGGGCAUGUGUGGAGAGCGGGUGUUCUCCAGAGUGUAGGAGGGGGGUCCCGGUCCACCCAGCUUUGCAGCUGCCUCCCAGCUUCUGGCCGGAGCCCCUUGCCUCAGUCCUGGGUUCCUCUGGGGCUGGGAUGAAGAGAGAUGCAAGGGCAGCGGUGCUGUGGGUUCACCCCAGUUACCCAUCACUGGCCUUCUCUGGAGGAGUGCAUUUGUCCUUUGACAGAGCCCCCAACACAGACAUGGGGUCCCCAGCACAGCAGCAUUCCCCAGUGUGGGUGACGCCCCCUCUAGCCAGUCUCUCAUCUCCUCCCCUUACCUCUGCUCUGGCUGCACACCCCUGCACCCCGGAGCUGUCUCCCUUCUCACUGAGCAUUCACUCAGCUCAUGGGAAAAUCUCGUGCCACCCUCCCACACCAAGAGGCACAAGCACCGUUGGACCAUGCUGGCUGGUUCCCCUGGUCCUGCCAGGAGAACCUCUCAGGCAGGGGCUGCCUUCAAUCUUCUUCACGGGAGAACUCAGUCUUCCAGUCACAUGUCCCUCACGCUUUGCUGCAGCAGUGGCACCAGGAAGGUCUCUGGGGUGCCACCCCUUAGCCAGACAACUCAAUGAAGAGCUCUCUGCCACCCUUUACUGAGCUUGGGAUCAGAAUGUGGGGCUGGGGGAAGGAACCCCCCACACUCCCAAAGGGAAGGAGGAAAAAUGCUCUAUCUAGACUCUCUCCCAGGGGAAAAGAUGCCAGCAGAGGCAGUGAGUUAAGUGACUGAAGAUCUCAGGGGAGGAACGGUCAGCUGGGAUUUCCUUCUGGAAUGCUAGGUUGAAUUUGUUCUGGAACGGUAACAAGACAGUCUCUGCUUUCAAAAGAAGUAGCCUUUGAUGUAUUGUUUGGCGGCAGCUCCACAAGGCUAAGAUCAGAUGUACCCACAACUUCCCCUGGUCCACAAACAGGACACGAGGAGAUGAAACACUUGGCCGAGCUGAGCUCAGGGCAAGGUCUGGUUAUUAGGCGAGAAAACGUCUGGCCUCAAAGACGCCGAGUUCCUCAUAACGCUGCAAGGUUUCUUUGAUGUGAGACGGGAACUUUUUAUUUGGUGGAGCGUCAGGGUACAGUGCCGGGAGCAGGGGGACCCUGGGUUUCCACUGGAUGCUGCCAUACGUGGGGAGGCCAGCAGAAGCCCCGAGGGGUGUGUGUAGCAGGGGAGGAGGCUCCGGGCUCCGUGUGAGGGAGAACUUCCUAAUUACCAGCAUCUUCUCCCAGCACAAAGUGGAGAGCUCCCCAUCACCAGAAGUGUUCAAGCAGAGUCUACACAACUGCAUGGCACUGGACUCGAUGCUUCUUGCCCGCCCUACUAGAUUGGAAGCUCCUUGAAGCACAGGUCUUUAGACCUCAGGCCUGCUGGUGGUUUGGAAGCUGAUUGUUAUCCAGCCUGAUCAUCUGGGCCUAAUGAGCUGGAUCAUCAUUUCUUCAUCAGGGAAGUCUGAUUCUCCUGUGGUUUUGUUCCCACCCCUGUGAGGUCAGCAGGGAGCUAACCCUUUAUCUCAGGAAGGCAACAGGAGCCGGAGAGGAGCCGGGUGACAGGCUCAGAGUGGCGUUUAUUCAGGGAGCAAGGGUUUGAAUUCACACACACUGCUACGUUUCUUGAGCCCCUGGGAAAGGCUCUCCUGGCAGCACCUGCACAGCUGCACAGCCCGGCACCCUGGGGAGUGGAAGGUGCCCAGCGAUCCCCACGUGCAAUCAGUGGGCCCGCCAAGGCUGCCACAGCGCCUGUCACUCCAGUAUCGCAUAUCUCGAGGCCUUGGACUUGGGGGGGAGGGAGAGGGGCAAUUUUUCACUUCUUCUGCAAUGUAUUUCUACAGUAUAACAAUUGCUUAUAAAAAC
Molecule: long non-coding RNA, 2830 nt
Filed under: Equus caballus (horse)
Lineage: Eukaryota; Metazoa; Chordata; Mammalia; Perissodactyla; Equidae
Description: lncRNA (ENSECAG00000030748.2)
Source: RNAcentral